RNAcentral lists this ribosomal RNA (503 nucleotides) under uncultured bacterium. RNAcentral describes it as "bacterial SSU rRNA". It matches the Rfam family "Bacterial small subunit ribosomal RNA", at positions 32 to 513 of the family's 1533-position model. The record is from RNAcentral.
AUCAACGCUGGCGGCGUGCCUAACACAUGCAAGUCGAACGAGAAGGUGACUUCGGUCACUGGAUAGUGGCGUCCGGGUGAGUAACACGUAGGUAAUCUACCUUCGGGUGGGGAAUAACGUCUCGAAAGAGACGCUAAUACCGCAUAAUGCAGCGGCACCUAAUGGUGAUUAGUUGUUAAAGCGGGGGAUCUUCGGACCUCGCGCCUGAAGAGGAGCCUGCGGCAGAUUAGCAGUUGGUGAGGUAAUGGCUCACCAAGGCUUCGAUCUGUAGCUGGUCUGAGAGGACGGCCAGCCACACUGGCACUGACACACGGGCCAGACUCCUACGGGAGGCAGCAGUGGGGAAUUUUGGGCAAUGGGCGAAAGCCUGACCCAGCAACGCCGCGUGAAGGAGGAAAUCCUUCGGGAUGUAAACUUCAUAAGUAAGGGAAGAAAGCUGCGGAUCGAAUAAGUCCGCAGUCCGACGGUACCUUACGUAAGCCACGGCUAACUACGUGCCAGCA